UCCAUUAACUCUAGUAGGUAGAGGGCCUG
Molecule: non-coding RNA, 29 nt
Filed under: Rattus norvegicus (Norway rat)
Lineage: Eukaryota; Metazoa; Chordata; Mammalia; Rodentia; Muridae
Source: RNAcentral